GUGCUUCAGCAGAACAGAUACUAAAAUUGGGACAAUACAGAGAAGAUUAACCUGGGCCCUGUGCAAAGAUGACAUGCAAAUUCUGAGGCAUUCCAUAUUUUU
This is a small nuclear RNA of Cricetulus griseus (Chinese hamster), 102 nucleotides long. Lineage: Eukaryota; Metazoa; Chordata; Mammalia; Rodentia; Cricetidae. The record is from Ensembl.